This 222-nucleotide ribosomal RNA is filed under the name uncultured bacterium. Its description in RNAcentral is "partial 16S ribosomal RNA". It matches the Rfam family "Bacterial small subunit ribosomal RNA", at positions 109 to 334 of the family's 1533-position model. The record is from RNAcentral.
AGUAAUGCUUGGGAAUCUAGCUUGUGGAGGGGGAUAACUACGGGAAACUGUAGCUAAUACCGCGUAGAAUCGAGAGAUGAAAGUGUGGGACCUUCGGGCCACAUGCCAUAGGAUGAGCCCAAGUGGGAUUAGGUAGUUGGUGAGGUAAAGGCUCACCAAGCCGACGAUCUCUAGCUGGUCUGAGAGGAUGACCAGCCACACUGGGACUGAGACACGGCCCAG